Molecule: ribosomal RNA, 253 nt
Filed under: uncultured bacterium
Lineage: Bacteria
Description: partial 16S ribosomal RNA
Rfam family: Bacterial small subunit ribosomal RNA
Source: RNAcentral
UACGUAGGGUGCAGGCGUUAAUCGGAAUUACUGGGCGUAAAGCGUGCGCAGGCGGUUUGCUAAGACAGGUGUGAAAUCCCCGGGCUUAACCUGGGAACUGCGCUUGUUACUGGCAGGCUUGAGUGUGGCAGAGGGGGGUGGGAUUCCACGUGUAGCAGUGAAAUGCGUAGAGAUGUGGAGGAACACCGAUGGCGAAGGCAGCCCCCUGGGCUAACACUGACGCUCAUGCACGAAAGCGUGGGGAGCAAACAGG